Molecule: long non-coding RNA, 755 nt
Organism: Oncorhynchus tshawytscha (Chinook salmon)
Lineage: Eukaryota; Metazoa; Chordata; Actinopteri; Salmoniformes; Salmonidae
Source: Ensembl
CUAAAACCAGCAGAUGACUGCCCUCCAUGGAAUGAGUUUGGACACCUUCUGAUCUAGUGCCUUUCGACAGAAGCACAGAUCCAGGAACAGUCUCCAUUUCCUCAACCUUAACUAGUGUAGUAUAAGUUAACUACUAGGGGGGGGGAUCUGCAUGAAAACUGACCUGAGAUCAGUGUCGUGUUUUAUAAGAUGACCACUUCCUCUCUUUUACAGGUGACAUUCCUUUCCUCCUUAAACAUGUGUCGCGUUGUAUUCCUCCCCCCACUGAUUCAGUAGCAGGAAGGAGUUUUGAGGUGUCGUGUUUUAUUCCCCCCCACCCCCACUGAUUCAGUAGCAGGAAGGAGUUUUGAGGUGUCGCGUUGUAUUCCCUCCCCCACUGAUUCAGUAGCAGGAAGGAGUUUUAAGGUGUCGCGUUGUAUUCCCUCCCCCCCCACUGAUUCAGUAGCAGGAAGGAGUUUUGAGGUGUCACGUUGUAUUCCCUCCCCCACUGAUUCAGUAGCAGGAAGGAGUUUUGAGGUGUCGCGUUUUAUUCCCUCCCCCACUGAUUCAGUAGCAGGAAGGAGUUGAGGUGUCGCGUUUUAUUCCCUCCCCCCCACUGAUUCAGUAGCAGGAAGGAGUUUUGAGGUGUUACGAUAUCAUAGAGCCUUUUAGCGUCACAGAAUACCAGUCUACUGAUAGCAUUAAUACAACGUUUGUUAGUUUGUACAUAUACCAGUAAUAGGAUCCAUGUUUCUCUAUCAUGUCUUUUACAUUUC